Molecule: RNA transcript, 8271 nt
Organism: Cydia pomonella (codling moth)
Lineage: Eukaryota; Metazoa; Arthropoda; Insecta; Lepidoptera; Tortricidae
Gene name: transmembrane protein 245
Exons: 14
Source: RefSeq, a predicted model, not a curated record
UAAAAAAAAACUCAUCUGACAUUGACAGCUUAAAACGUCAAACAAAAGUGUUCAUGAAUAUUUUUCUACGUUGAAGAAUAUCUCAAAUAACUAUGAUCUCACUCUUUUAUCUGGUGUUAAUAUAAGUUUAAAAAGUGCAUUAGUAUAUCAAAAUGCAACAAUCCCCGUUUGAGAAUAUUUUUAACAUAAUUGGCGGAUUAUCCGAAGGAAAUGAAAAGCCCAUGAAACAUGGGUUCUAUAACGCAUUUGCCUUGUUCAUUCUAACUAUAUGCUGUGCUGCAGUUUAUGUGCUGUUUCUUAUACUGGAACCCUUCUUUAAACCUUUGUUUUGGGCACUUUUAGUGGGUUCGUUGCUGCACCCGUUCAAAUAUAAACUGUCUAAGAAGCUGAAGUCAUGGUUUGAAGAUUUAGAGAAACGUAACACAUCUGUGAUAUUUGGAUUAAUGUUCUUACCUGUAAAUGUUGUUAAUUUUGCUUCGGACACUGUGGGACAUCAGUUCAUAGAACAUUACAAGACUGUAAUUGGAUUACUCUCUGCAAUAUUUGUGUUACCUUGGCUGUACAAUGCCAUUCCCCGAAGUUUGGUCUGCAUAUUCUGGCAGCUCAGCAGCUUCAUUGGCUUCUCAACUACAAAGCUAAUUGGCUUUUGCAGCUCAUACAUUACUCUGACCAUAGCUCUGGCUUAUUUAAUAAGCAUAUGCACAUUAUGGAGGCCAGAGCGAUCGGGCAUGUUUAAAGCAUCAUCGCAAUUCCUCUGGCUUGUUAUAACAAGUUUCUUAGCCAGUCUGACUGGGUCUCUGCAAGUCUAUACAUUUGUACUGCUGCAAGGCCUAUGUGUAGCAGGAUUUGCGCUUGAAGUAAUUGAUGUUCAUAAGGAGUUAUUAGCGAGAGAUCCUGAGAUAUCAGCUAUUGUCGCAAUCCAAAAAGUUCUUACCAACGAACAUUGCAAGGAUGCAAUCAAGCAAGAUGAAAAGCCAGAACAGAGUGCUAGUGAACAGGAAUCCACGCCCGAGAAAGAAUCCCCUUCUCCCGUCACCCCUGAUGCCGCUAUGAAAAGGGGAAGCUGGGCAGAAAGCGAUCAAAUACACAGCUCGCCUCGUCAUGCAAAAAUGCUGUACAAAACUCGAACAUUAUCCGCCUUACCACUAUCGAAUACGAAAACGAAAUCCGCCUUCGAAAAUCGACUCAUCGCCUCCUUCAAACAAAGAUCGAUGGACGAAAACUACAUGAAAAGCAACUUCAACAGUGACGACGAAACCGCCUUAUAUUUUAAACUACUCUUCUUUGGAUGCCUAUGCAUGCUCGUGUGGAAACAUAUAUGGCUGCUGCCAGUAAUGCUAUUUUUCUUAGCAAUUCAUGUAUUGAAGAGAGUUUUAGACUUCUUUGGAGUUUGGCUGUUCUGUGAGAAUCACUAUAAUAAUUUCAUGGGCAAAGUCAAAAAUUGGUGGUCUGACAGACAAUCUGCGGCGGUGCCAGCGCACAUUCGUGGAAUCCGCAAAAUCCUCUCUAGUUUGAAUAAAAGCAUAAGAGACGUGGCCUACGGCUCUGUAGAUACUGUCUCUACUUGCAUCGUCAUCACGGGUCUUAUUACAUUUCUUAUCGUCGCUACUAUAUUCAUUUGUAUACAGAUAUACUCAGAGGCAAUAGUGGUGGUCCAACUGAGCGGCAGCCUCCUGAACAGUACGUUCGUACAAAACAGUGAGCUGCACGCUUACCUCCCCGAGGGUUGGGAGGAGAAACUAGAUUCCUUAAUCGACAACGCCUAUACUUAUGGAAAGGAGGGCAUAUCUACUGGUGUAAAGAGCAUACUCAAAGAAGGUGACCCUGAGAAGAUAGCUCGUGUAGAGGAGCAAAUCCUACAACUAUGGGAUCGCGUGUACCAAAGCUGGGUGUCGGGACAGUUCGCGCCGCAGAUCGGGCCUACGGUCGACGGCAACGCUGUCCAGGACUCGUGGGACAGCUUCGUCAACGAUAUUUCGAACACGCCUGGCAUGUUCGAUUACUCCGGCAUCGUAGCCUGGGUGCAAGCUAACGUGGGUACCCUGAGCGCCAUAGCCACUAGCAUUUGGGCACCGCUGGCAAGCAAUGUGUCUUUGCUGGCCGGGUCCAUCGGCGCGUUCACGUCGCUUCUACUCUCAGGUGGAGGCGCUGUCAUCAACAUGUUCAUUAACUUGGUGGUGUUCUUUACAACGCUUUUCUACUUGCUGGCGUGCAGCAACGCUCUCUACAAGCCAGUCGAGGUCAUCACUCAAGUGCAGCCCAACUUUGGACCGCGGUUGGGCAUCGCCUUGUCUGUCGCUAUAAAUCAGGUGUUCAGAGCGUCAUUCAAAAUGGCGCUCUUUUACGGGUUAUGGACGUGGCUGGUGCAUAAUCUGUUUGGAGCUAAAGUUGUCUACUUACCUUCAGUGUUAGCUGCAGUGCUGGGCGCUGCUCCAUUCCUCGGGCCGUACUUGGCGGGGAUCCCCGCGGCGCUGGACGUGUGGCUGCAGGGCAGGCCUAUGGCCGCGCUGAUGCUGCCUAUAGCUCAAGCUGCGCCCAUCGCAUUCCUUGAUGCCGCCGUCUACGCUGAAAUCAAAGACGGCGGGCAUCCUUACGUGACCGGUCUAGCAAUAGCGGGUGGCAUAUUCUACCUCGGCCCCGAGGGCGCGAUCCUGGGGCCGCUGCUGCUGUGCUGCCUCAUGGUGGUGCUGAACCUCUCCUCCGCCUUCCUGCGCGACACGCCGUCGGAGGAGCGCGCCGCCCUGCACUCGCGUGUCAGUGUACCAAAGUGGUUGGCGAAUGAGAAAUUGCCUCAGCUUGUUUUUUCUAUGAUGCUCAAAAGGUUAACCAAGGUAAUUUUGAUAAGUAGUUCUUCAUUCGACACAUUUCGAAAUAUACAAAAGUACUUCAAAGUCCAUUAUGUUCAAAACAAAACGUAAUUACCCAUUCUUGUAAAUAACUGUUUUACUUUCUUGUUUAUUGGUGAAUUACAUUAUUUUUGGCAUAUUUAAUUGAUAAGUAAUAAUGCGUGGGUGUUCCUGUUGAUUUAGGUCAUUAUUGGGAUUGUUUUAUAAUUGAGGCUCGGUGCUUUUCUCUGACGGGCAUGCAUGGACUACUAACACUCAGUCAGUCCCCAACUGAUUUGUCAAUUAAUAAGCCAAGCAAUGUAUGGUAUGAUAAGAAAUAACAAUCCAUUCGUAACAAGGGAAUGUUCUAAAAAAUCGGCUAAGACCAUGUCAGGCUAUGCUCAGUGUAGGGUUCCGUAGGUACGAUUCUGUCAGAAUAAGCUAAACGGGGGCUAUUAGUAUCAUGUACAUUAUAAGUUAUAAGCAUAAGGGAAUACCUUCGCAGCGCUUUAUAUAUCUUUUUUUACUAAGAAGAAAAUACUUUUUGCAAUAAUUCAAAAACGGCUGGACCGAUCAUGAUCGCUAUAGUGUUCAUUGAAAGUACUUAUGUUUUUAUUUUAACCCUUGGUAGUGUGGUAGGCCAUCGACUCCCGACCGAUUAUGUCAUUUAAAUUUCAAAUUUGAUUAAUUGAAAUAACUCAAAAACGAUGUAUGCCACUUGAAGGAUAUUUUUUGGACCCAUUGUUUAAAAGUUAGAGGGGUGGGUAAUGCAUUCGUUUUAAAAUACCUAUCCAACGAUACCCCAAACCAUUGGCUUAAAGAGAAAAGAUUAAAAAAACAUAUUGUAUGGAAGGUACGCUAAAAACAAUAUUCUAGUUUUUAUGUUACCGUUCUGUCGCCAUGCAUGAUUUAUGUAUCCAUGCCAAAAUGCAGUUUUUUAGCACUAACGAUCACGGUGCAAAGCCACGGACGGACAUGGUGAAACUAUACCUAAGGGUUCCAACUUGACUACGGAACCCUGAACAACGGUUUAAUAGGAAAGCUUAGGUUCCUACAUGUUUACAGUGCCAUGACACUUAUACUUUAACCCAUAAGCAUUCGAGGCGCUGAAAUUCAGAAACAUAUUAUUGAAAACUUUGAAAUUUAUAGUAAAGGGCCGUUUAACCCGCUUUUCGAAAUUAGUAUUGUUGGAGAUAAUGUUUAUAAUAGUAAGAUGUUUCUGGUGUAGGAUCUGGCGUUGUUUUGAUCCAUACCUAAUACAUAUUUAUCAUUAAUACACUUGGUUUAUUUAUAGUAUUCAUUCCAUAUGAUACGAACAGAUUCUAUUUACUUACAUGAUGGGUACUCUGAUUCUAGUAUAGUAAUAGAUUAGUACUUUGAUACUACUAUUAUAUGAAAUAUGUUUGUGGAAAUGGAAUGUAGAGAUAACAGUUGAAAUAUACCAACUUACCUAUUGUUAUUUUAACUGCCAUCGUGCCGCCCAAUGUAUACUGUUUCAAAUUUUCAAUGAAAUUUGGACCUUUCAUAAAGCAUACAAAGUACCUACUAGUCAAGGCUCGGAACCGGUUUUUAAAAUACCGAUUAAUACCGGUUGAUUUCGGUUUUACUCCGAACUUUCAUAAGAACGCGAAUGGUUUAAGAACUCCAUUGUAAGCCGGUCUGGUGGUGUGCCGCGUACACAAAGAUACCGACAUAGGAAGAAACCGGUUUUUACUGUUCUACACCGGUAAUUCUGACAAGAAAUUUAUGGAAAUGUUCUCCUAAAAACCGGUUUAAAAAUAACGGUUUUACGAACAAAACCGGCUUAUAAAGGUCAAGCCAAGUACAUGAUAACGGUUUAGAAAUUUAACCGGUUUCCGAGCCUUGCUACUAGUAAUUUUUUUAUCGUCUCAUUUUUUCAUACUUCCUUAACAAAAGCUAUUUGUUAAUGUCUAUAUAAAUAUAAUAAAUGUUAUAAAUUAUCCUAUGUAUGUCUAAAAUAUAUUGCAUAACUAUUACAUGGAUAUUUUACUGAUGUUUUGGUAUUUUGUUCAUAUGUUAGAAAAAGGUAUUUAUUAUGAAUCUCAUUCAUCAGUAACAUUACUAUAAUUAUGUGUCGUUUUAAUGCAAAAGCACAUUGUCGCUUGCUUAAUUCGUAUAAAGAUACAAGAAAAUUUCGUCCUUAUCGUAAGUGACAUUGUACCUUUGCUUGUUUUCAACGUUACAUAUAUCGGAGAUUAUUUUCAUUAUAUGUAUUUGAAAUUAUUAUGUUUGACUGUCAAAUGGUUCAUUACAUGUAGAGCUUUAGAAUGUUAUUGUACACCCAGCUGCAAAUUUGCAUUGCCACUGUAUGAAUGAUUUCAUUAUAUUAUGUCUCCGGUGCAGGGACCCGUCCAGCCCUUCCCAGAAAUAAACCUUUAAAUUGUUUAGUCGUUUAUCGAAUAGCCCCAACGAUUGGCUUUCCCUUUGAAUUGCUUACCCGAAGGGGUUUCCCUUUCAGAUAUCGCUAAAAUGAAAGGGUCCCCUUCCUAAUUCAAAAAAUUAUGACAUCUAUGCUGUCAACGCGCUAGACACCCAGUCCUUCACUUUAAACAUAAAUAAGCAAUAUUUGAUUCUAUUUUUACGGAGAGUAAGUUGAAAAUGGAAUAAUCGUUAUAAUUUAUAAUCGAUUCCCCUUCAAGAGGUUAGGGCUUAAGGAACGGGUAUCGAACAGGUAUCAGCUUACCCGUAUUAUGAAGCGCUUAAAAAGCCGAAUGAAAGAGUUUUAGAUAGCAACGGCUUUGGUAAGCAAAGCCUUACGAAAUACCCCUUCCAAAACGCUCGAAGGGGAUACCGGGCCGGGAAGGGACCCUGCUCCGGUGGCAAUUUUUCAGCUCACUGUACUUUGCUUCAGUGGAUGCACAAUGUUGUAUGUUAUGCCUUGUUAAUAAACUAAAGAUAAGUUUAUUUGUUGUGUUGUCCUGAUGUUGUGGAGAGAUAUUUACAUAUAUUUAAUUGUAAACUUAGUCUGGCACACACAAUAAUAGUCGUUGCAUGUAUUAGGAAUUUUGAAUAACAUUAUUUACUAGUCACAGCAUUUAACUUCAUAAGUUGACACUUUCACUGUCAGCGACCUGCAAAGCGGGUUCUUUGUUCGUAGCCGCUUUUCGCUACAGAGUGUAAAAUACGUGUUAUCGAUAGUGAAUGUGGUAAUGGCCUAGGAAAAGUAAUUUUAGUUCCUCGUACCUAAACAUUUCGAAGAGAUUGAAUUUAUUUUAGAUACGUGUUUAAUUUUUUAUAUCAAAAAAACAUCCCUUAACCCGAUCGACAACAAACGUGUCAAUAUAAUUUCAUAAAUUUUCAGAUUUAACUUUAAAAUUAGAUUGCAUUUUCGUAUAAAAUGACUUGUAUUGAAAUGAAUCGCCGUAUCAAUUUUGGGCUUGUGUUUUGUUUUUUUUAUAAAACCUAAGUUAAUAAUUAUUUUACUUUAUCUGUCUGUGACAUUUCUUUUUGAUUAAAAUCAGAGCGCGGCCUACGUAUAACGCAUGUCAUUUAUAGGUACUUUAUACAACGUACUUGUAAGUUGUUAUGACUGACUUAAAAUCCUUGUUGCUUCUAGUCUCUCUAUUACUUAUUUUGUUUAUUAGCAUUUAUCCCGAAACGAGAUUUAUCACGAAGUAUUCAGUGGUCGUCGUUUGGUGUUGUUAAAAUAAAAUGGCAAACGGAACGUCAUUCCGUAUUUGAUAUACCAAAUCCUGUGCAUUAUUCACUAGGCAAUAAAGUAAUUAUGUACACUAUUUUAAGUCUAGCCAGCUGCCAAAUAAAGGUUUCCAGUAUGUCAUUGUAUGCGCAAAUAUUAUAAAACGCCUAAUGUACAAUAAUAUAUAUACAACUACGUGUAAGAAAACAGGCCAGCAUAAAUUAGAAAAAUGAUGAGCAAAAAAACCGCAUGCACCUUCAAUAAUUAUUUACCAAUCGUACCUAGGUAUACUGUACGUAAAGUAUCUAGGUGCGUAUGGUAGGUAUGUUCUAUUUACGUCGGUCUGUAUUCCAUUAUUGAUAAUAUACUCGUAUUCAGAAUAAGAAAGAAUGAACUGAUAUUUCAGGGCAGGGCGUAUAUUUCAAGAGAUUACUACAUUAUUUUUUUAAUACAUCAGUCUUAUAUUUUAAUGACUUAAAGUUUCUUUUAUUUACGUGGCUUCAGGCCGUCUCAAUAAUAUUUGAAGUAAAUAUGCUUAUAAUAAAAUAUACCUAAUAACAUUCAAACUGCCGUCAGCUUUGCUCUUCCUAAUUCUAGAUAAGAGUAUAGUAUCAAGAUUAGUUAAUAAGUAAGUUACAUUGGUUAAGGAGAAAGCGGUGUCCAGGCGAUCGUUCGCACAAAGUGCAGUGAUAUCCGCUAACUUCCAAAGGUUUCGUAAAAUGUGCUCCCAACUAUCUGAUUUCUAGUAUUAAGAAUUUAAAUAUGUAUUGUAUGCUAUUAUUAUUAUUUACAUGCAGUUUUCUAAUUUUUAUACGUGGUUAAAUCUAUUUUCGAAGCCAUAUGGGUACUUAGAGAAAUUAAUGAGCUUUGCAUUGCGCUUGUUGGAAUCUACUUAUUUACUUUUGUAAAGCUGCAAAAACUAUAUAACAUUAAUAUUGAUGCUGUAGAUUCUUUGAAAUAUGUGACGUGCCUAGUAUAAAACAAUUCAAAAUUGUAACUCUAUUCAAUGGAAACUAAUUUGCGUUGCCAUGUGUAAUAUUCGUAAGAUCACAAGAGAUUUAAAAAGAUAAAUGGAUAAAGAAAUGACACAGAUUUAACGCCGCUUGUAACACAACAAAAAACGAUCCUUUCGCUAUAUCUAUUUUUUAAACGUCUAUAGGCUGCCUUUGUUAUCACUGACUGACUGAGGGGUGAAUAUGUGUCAUACUGAACAACGUUUACUAUGGGGCCAACCCCGAAUUCGUAAAAAAAAUUAGCUACUCAAUAGAAAACAUUGUCUAUGAUUCACCGAAAUGUGAAACGAAGACUGCGGAUUUUUUUUUGCUAUUUCGGGGUUGGCCCCAUAGUAAACCUACAUCUUCACCCCUUAGAGUUUGGCCAGUGAUAACAAAAGCACCAUGUAUAGUCACGUUCAUUCAGUAAUAAAUAAUAAUAUAUACAUAUACUCAAACACACCCAAAUUGUCGGUAGAAAAGGCGCAAAAUUUUCUAUGCGAGGUCAACCCUUCACGCCUACAUUUUUUAAAUUUGCCGCCUUUUUCUACUGAAAAAGUGGCUGUGCGAGAGUAUAGUUCAGAUUAUCAAAGCAAUAUUUAAAAUAACAUAUAUAAGUAUAUUGAAACCAGCAAAGCCCUUACCAGUUCAGAAAGUAUCGUCCAAAAAUGAGUUAAGCUUUAUCAUAAACUAAUAUUAUGGUAUUGCAUUGCCAUUAAAUGCACUAAAAAUAGUUUAUUAUACGCGCAUAUUCGCAUUGAGCCAAAUAAAAGUAAUAUAUUGAUUUGCUUAUAAA